RNAcentral lists this transfer RNA (77 nucleotides) under Oenococcus sicerae. RNAcentral's name for it is "tRNA-Thr(agt)". It matches the Rfam family "tRNA". Rfam says of the family: Transfer RNA (tRNA) molecules are approximately 80 nucleotides in length. Their secondary structure includes four short double-helical elements and three loops (D, anti-codon, and T loops). The record is from RNAcentral. Lineage: Bacteria; Bacillati; Bacillota; Bacilli; Lactobacillales; Lactobacillaceae.
UGCCGACUUAGCUCAGUUGGCUAGAGCACCUCACUAGUAAUGAGGGGGUCGGAGGUUCGAAUCCUCUAGUCGGCAUC